Molecule: ribosomal RNA, 774 nt
Filed under: uncultured Neocallimastigales
Lineage: Eukaryota; Fungi; Neocallimastigomycota; Neocallimastigomycetes; Neocallimastigales
Description: partial large subunit ribosomal RNA
Rfam family: Eukaryotic large subunit ribosomal RNA
Source: RNAcentral
UAUCUCUGUAGAGUCUGCAUAUCAAUAAGCGGAGGAAAAGAAACUAACUAGGAUUCCCUCAGUAACGGCGAGUGAAGCGGGAAGAGCUCAAAUUUGAAAUCUUCAAGGUUCUACCUUGACGAAUUGUAGUUUAAAGAAGUGUUUUCUGUUGGAGUUUUGGUAAAAGUUCUUUGGAAUAGGACAUCAUAGAGGGUGAGAAUCCCGUAUUUGACCAUUAUUUCCAGCUUUGUGAUACACUUUCAAAGAGUCAGAUUGUUUGGGAAUGCAGUCCAAAAUGGGUGGUAAAUUUCAUCUAAAGCUAAAUAUUGGCGAGAGACCGAUAGCGAACAAGUACCGUGAGGGAAAGAUGAAAAGAACUUUGAAAAGAGAGUUAAACAGUACGUGAAAUUGUCAAAAGGGAAGCGUUUGACACCAGUGUUGUUUUUCUGAAAAUCAAUUAAAGAACUGUUUAUGCUAAGUUGUUUAGACUUUAUCAGCUAACUGUUUAGUUUUGAGCUUUUCUUUAAUGCACUUUUCAGUUAACAAGUCAACAUCAAUUUCUUUUGCUGUAAAAAAGCUUGAGGAAGGUGGCUUGAGAUUCGUCUUAAGUGUUUAUAGCCUCUUGCCUAUGCAGUCGGAGAGAUUGAGGUCUGCAGCGUAGAUCCUUCGGGGCUAAAUGCAUUUGUGCUAAGUUAUAGCAUUUUAUAGACAACUUGUUGACUAUGAUUUGUCUUGUAGCUUACUCGCUUAUGUUAUUUUACCUACGCUUAGGAUGUUGAAGAUGUAGCACAUCAU